UACGUAGGGGGCGAGCGUUGUCCGGAUUUAUUGGGCGUAAAGGGCUCGUAGGCGGUCUGUUGCGUCGGGUGUGAAAACUCAGGGCUUAACCCUGAGCCUGCUUCCGAUACGGGCAGACUAGAGGUAUGCAGGGGAGAGCGGAAUUCCUGGUGUAGCAGUGAAAUGCGCAGAUAUCAGGAGGAACACCGGUGGCGAAGGCAGUUCUCUGGGCAUGACCUGACGCUGAGGAGCGAAAGUGUGGGGAGCGAACAGG
Molecule: ribosomal RNA, 253 nt
Filed under: uncultured bacterium
Lineage: Bacteria
Description: partial 16S ribosomal RNA
Rfam family: Bacterial small subunit ribosomal RNA
Source: RNAcentral